AACAAACGCUGGCGGCGUGCCUAAUACAUGCAAGUCGAACGGGUAGCAAUAUCAGUGGCGCACGGGUGAGGAAUACAUAGAUAAUCUGCCUUCGAGUCGGGGAUAACCAGUCGAAAGACUGGCUAAUACCGGAUAGGACCACAGGAUCUGCGGAUCUAGGGGUUAAAGGUUUUUCGCUUGAAGAUGAGUCUAUGCGAGAUUAGCUAGUUGGUGAGGUAAUGGCUCACCAAGGCGACGAUCUCUAACUGGUCUUAGAGGAUGAUCAGUCACACUGGAACUGAGACACGGUCCAGACUCCUACGGGAGGCAGCAGUAGGGAAUAUUGCGCAAUGGGGGAAACCCUGACGCAGCGACGCCGCGUGAGUGAUGAAGGCCUUCGGGUCGUAAAGCUCUGUCGUAUGGGAAUAACACAAUGAAUGUACCAUGCAAGAAAGGAUCGGCUAACUUCGUGCCAGCCGCCGCGGUAA
RNAcentral lists this ribosomal RNA (467 nucleotides) under uncultured bacterium. RNAcentral describes it as "partial 16S ribosomal RNA". It matches the Rfam family "Bacterial small subunit ribosomal RNA", at positions 29 to 523 of the family's 1533-position model. The record is from RNAcentral.